RNAcentral lists this small nuclear RNA (23 nucleotides) under Arabidopsis thaliana (thale cress). RNAcentral describes it as "snRNA_02565". Lineage: Eukaryota; Viridiplantae; Streptophyta; Magnoliopsida; Brassicales; Brassicaceae. The record is from RNAcentral.
GUACAGAACGGAGAACCGAAAGU